This 301-nucleotide ribosomal RNA is filed under the name uncultured bacterium. Its description in RNAcentral is "partial 16S ribosomal RNA". It matches the Rfam family "Bacterial small subunit ribosomal RNA", at positions 509 to 807 of the family's 1533-position model. The record is from RNAcentral.
CAGUCGCCGCGGUAAUACGUAGGUGGCAAGCGUUGUCCGGAAUUACUGGGUGUAAAGGGAGCGUAGACGGUUAAACAGGUCUGAAGUGAAAUGCCGGGGCUCAACCCCGGAGCUGCUUUGGGAACUGUAGAACUGGAGUGUCGGAGGGGUAAGCGGAAUUCCCAGUGUAGCGGUGAAAUGCGUAGAUAUUGGGAGGAACACCGGCGGCGAAGGCGGCUUACUGGACGACAACUGACGUUGAGGCUCGAAGGCGUGGGUAGCAAACAGGAUUAGAUACCCCGGUAGUCCCUGUCUCUUAUAC